Harpia harpyja (harpy eagle) is the source of this 387-nucleotide long non-coding RNA. RefSeq lists it as uncharacterized. Lineage: Eukaryota; Metazoa; Chordata; Aves; Accipitriformes; Accipitridae. The record is from RefSeq and is a predicted model, not a curated record. The transcript is spliced from 3 exons.
AGCAGCAGAAGGGAAAGGGGAGCAUGGAGAUGGAGGACAGGAUCCAGAGGAUGAGCAGUGGCUUAAUGUCAAGCAACAGUAUGCUCUGAGUUGAAGGAAGAGUACUACCCCAAGGACCACAGAGUCAAAACAGAUGAUCGAUGCCAAGGAAGUCAGGACUGUUUCAUCAUGUGCAUCUUGCAGUACAGCAGCAGUGUACAGUAGUAUACCUGAGACCACAAAAUGCCCCAUGGUGGAGUUUGUUCUCCUGGCACCUGCUGUGGACUGUGGAAAAGUCAGGUCUGCGAGUACUUUGUGCUAUUCAAAAAUGGGAAACUAAGACAUGGGAAGUGAUUUGCCAAUUGUACUGGAAAUUUUUUGUGUGCAAUCAUGGGCAGAGCCAUCUCU